CCGAUCAUAGCUCAGCUGGUAGAGCGGGAGACUGUAGUGCAACAGCUUAUCUCUAGGUCACUUGUUCGAAUCAGGUUGAUCGGA
Molecule: non-coding RNA, 84 nt
Organism: Circinella umbellata
Lineage: Eukaryota; Fungi; Mucoromycota; Mucoromycetes; Mucorales; Lichtheimiaceae
Source: the annotation of a GenBank genome assembly